AGAGCGAACGCUGGCGGCAGGCUUAACACAUGCAAGUCGAGCGGGCGUAGCAAUACGUCAGCGGCAGACGGGUGAGUAACGCGUGGGAACGUACCUUUUGGUUCGGAACAACACAGGGGAAACUUGUGCUAAUACCGGAUAAGCCCUUACGGGGAAAGAUUUAUCGCCGAAAGAUCGGCCCGCGUCUGAUUAGCUAGUUGGUGAGGUAAUGGCUCACCAAGGCGACGAUCAGUAGCUGGUCUGAGAGGAUGAUCAGCCACAUUGGGACUGAGACACGGCCCAAACUCCUACGGGAGGCAGCAGUGGGAAUAUUGGACAAUGGGCGCAAGCCUGAUCCAGCCAUGCCGCGUGAGUGAUGAAGGCCUUAGGGUUGUAAAGCUCUUUCGCUAGGGACGAUAAUGACGGUACCUAGACAAGAAGCCCCGGCUAACUUCGUGCCAGCAGCCGC
Molecule: ribosomal RNA, 448 nt
Filed under: uncultured bacterium
Lineage: Bacteria
Description: SSU rRNA
Rfam family: Bacterial small subunit ribosomal RNA
Source: RNAcentral